RNAcentral lists this transfer RNA (68 nucleotides) under Anguilla anguilla (European eel). Its description in RNAcentral is "tRNA-OTHER". Lineage: Eukaryota; Metazoa; Chordata; Actinopteri; Anguilliformes; Anguillidae. The record is from RNAcentral.
UCACGGUGGUGCAGUGGGUUGCACUGUUGCCUCACAGCAAAGGUCCUUGGUUUGAAUCCUAUCUGGAG